GUGUUCAGACGUUCGAAAUCAAUAUUUUCGGGGAUACCAAAAAUGCUGCCUGUUGUAAUUUGUACUCUUGUUGCAAUAUUUGCAAUUGGAGUUAUUGGUAUUUGUGUUGCACAAGCUCAAGCAAUAGAAAUGGAUAGUGAAUUUGGCGGUCGUGCUGCAUUCUCAGCAGAAGCGACUGAAAAUAAAACAGGUUUUAAAGUUGGUGGUGAUUUUAAUGUCCGAAGGGCUAAAAUACCACAUCCCUAAAGAUGGCUCUUCUAACCAAAGUUUCGCUGUGAAAUUUGUAAUACACAUAGCGUACAAGAUGGAUCUGUUAAACAAAGUAUUGAUGUUGAAUUUAUAACUUACAUAUGUGAGAAAUGUAAAAUGUAAUAAAAUCCAUCACGAUAGCAGUUUCAAUA
Molecule: long non-coding RNA, 401 nt
Organism: Drosophila nasuta
Lineage: Eukaryota; Metazoa; Arthropoda; Insecta; Diptera; Drosophilidae
Exons: 2
Source: RefSeq, a predicted model, not a curated record